RNAcentral lists this ribosomal RNA (1467 nucleotides) under uncultured bacterium. RNAcentral describes it as "bacterial SSU rRNA". It matches the Rfam family "Bacterial small subunit ribosomal RNA". The record is from RNAcentral.
AACGCUAGCUACAGGCUUAACACAUGCAAGUCGAGGGGCAGCAUGGUCUUAGCUUGCUAAGGCCGAUGGCGACCGGCGCACGGGUGAGUAACACGUAUCCAACCUGCCGUCUACUCUUGGACAGCCUUCUGAAAGGAAGAUUAAUACAAGAUGGCAUCAUGAGUCCGCAUGUUCACAUGAUUAAAGGUAUUCCGGUAGACGAUGGGGAUGCGUUCCAUUAGAUAGUAGGCGGGGUAACGGCCCACCUAGUCUUCGAUGGAUAGGGGUUCUGAGAGGAAGGUCCCCCACAUUGGAACUGAGACACGGUCCAAACUCCUACGGGAGGCAGCAGUGAGGAAUAUUGGUCAAUGGGCGAGAGCCUGAACCAGCCAAGUAGCGUGAAGGAUGACUGCCCUAUGGGUUGUAAACUUCUUUUAUAAAGGAAUAAAGUCGGGUAUGGAUACCCGUUUGCAUGUACUUUAUGAAUAAGGAUCGGCUAACUCCGUGCCAGCAGCCGCGGUAAUACGGAGGAUCCGAGCGUUAUCCGGAUUUAUUGGGUUUAAAGGGAGCGUAGAUGGAUGUUUAAAUCAGUUGUGAAAGUUUGCGGCUCAACCGUAAAAUUGCAGUUGAUACUGGAUAUCUUGAGUGCAGUUGAGGCAGGCGGAAUUCGUGGUGUAGCGGUGAAAUGCUUAGAUAUCACGAAGAACUCCGAUUGCGAAGGCAGCCUGCUAAGCUGCAACUGACAUUGAGGCUCGAAAGUGUGGGUAUCAAACAGGAUUAGAUACCCUGGUAGUCCACACGGUAAACGAUGAAUACUCGCUGUUUGCGAUAUACUGCAAGCGGCCAAGCGAAAGCGUUAAGUAUUCCACCUGGGGAGUACGCCGGCAACGGUGAAACUCAAAGGAAUUGACGGGGGCCCGCACAAGCGGAGGAACAUGUGGUUUAAUUCGAUGAUACGCGAGGAACCUUACCCGGGCUUAAAUUGCAGAUGAAUUACGGUGAAAGCCGUAAGCCGCAAGGCAUCUGUGAAGGUGCUGCAUGGUUGUCGUCAGCUCGUGCCGUGAGGUGUCGGCUUAAGUGCCAUAACGAGCGCAAACCCUUGUUGUCAGUUACUAACAGGUUCCGCUGAGGACUCUGACAAGACUGCCAUCGUAAGAUGUGAGGAAGGUGGGGAUGAUGUCAAAUCAGCACGGCCCUUACUUUCCGGGGCUACACACGUGUUACAAUGGGGGGUACAGAGGGCCGAUACCACGCGAGUGGAUGCCAAUCCCAAAAACCUCUCUCAGUUCGGACUGGAGUCUGCAACCCGACUCCACGAAGCUGGAUUCGCUAGUAAUCGCGCAUCAGCCACGGCGCGGUGAAUACGUUUCCGGGCCUUGUACACUCCGCCCGUCAAGCCAUGGGAGCCGGGGGUACCUGAAGUGCGUAACCGCGAGGAGCGCCCUAGGGUAAAACUGGUGACUGGGGCUAAGUCGUAACAAGGUAGCC